RNAcentral lists this ribosomal RNA (897 nucleotides) under uncultured bacterium. RNAcentral describes it as "bacterial SSU rRNA". It matches the Rfam family "Bacterial small subunit ribosomal RNA", at positions 28 to 889 of the family's 1533-position model. The record is from RNAcentral.
GACGAACGCUGGCGGCGUGCUUAACACAUGCAAGUCGAACGGAAAGAGAUGAAAGAGCUUGCUCUUUUAUUAAUUUCAGUGGCAAACGGGUGAGUAACACGCAAACAACCUGCCUUAAGGAUGGGGAUAACAGACGGAAACGACUGCUAAUACCGAAUACGUUCUAAGCAUCGCAUGGUGCAUAGAAGAAAGGGUGGCCUCUACAAGAAAGCUAUCGCCUUAAGAGGGGUUUGCGACUGAUUAGGUAGUUGGUGAGGUAACGGCUCACCAAGCCGACGAUCAGUAGCCGGUCUGAGAGGAUGAACGGCCACACUGGAACUGAGACACGGUCCAGACUCCUACGGGAGGCAGCAGUGGGGAAUCUUCCGCAAUGGACGAAAGUCUGACGGAGCAACGCCGCGUGAACGAAGAAGGUCUUCGGAUUGUAAAGUUCUGUGAUUCGGGACGAAAGGGUUUGUGGUGAAUAAUCAUAGACAUUGACGGUACCGAAAAAGCAAGCCACGGCUAACUACGUGCCAGCAGCCGCGGUAAUACGUAGGUGGCAAGCGUUGUCCGGAAUUAUUGGGCGUAAAGCGCGCGCAGGCGGUUUCUUAAGUCCAUCUUAAAAGCGUGGGGCUCAACCCCAUGAGGGGAUGGAAACUGGGAAGCUGGAGUAUCGGAGAGGAAAGUGGAAUUCCUAGUGUAGCGGUGAAAUGCGUAGAGAUUAGGAAGAACACCGGUGGCGAAGGCGACUUUCUAGACGAAAACUGACGCUGAGGCGCGAAAGCGUGGGGAGCAAACAGGAUUAGAUACCCUGGUAGUCCACGCCGUAAACGAUGGAUACUAGGUGUAGGAGGUAUCGACCCCUCCUGUGCCGGAGUUAACGCAAUAAGUAUCCCGCCUGGGAAGUACGAUCGC